UGGCGCAAUGGCAGCGCGUAACACUCCUAAUGCUGGAGUUGUGGGUUCGAAUC
RNAcentral lists this transfer RNA (53 nucleotides) under Ditylum brightwellii. RNAcentral describes it as "partial tRNA". It matches the Rfam family "tRNA", at positions 8 to 59 of the family's 71-position model. From Rfam's summary of the family: Transfer RNA (tRNA) molecules are approximately 80 nucleotides in length. Lineage: Eukaryota; Bacillariophyta; Thalassiosirophyceae; Lithodesmiales; Lithodesmiaceae. The record is from RNAcentral.